ACAUGGUCCUCACUCAACAUGAAGUGGAGUUCCACACAGAAAAAGCAAUGGAAUCUUGAAAUUCGCAGGCAAAUGGAUGGAACUAGAAGAAACCAUCCUGAAUGAGGUAACCCAGUCACAAAAAGACAAACAUGAGCCCUCAUCCAGUGGCUGAUGGAAGCAGAGACAGACAUCCACAGAUAUACACUGAGCUGAAAUCGGGAAUUUAGUUGAACAGAGGGAGGAAUGAAGAUUGAAGGGGUCUGUACCAGGUUGGAGAAACCCACAGAAGCAGUUGGCCUAAACAAGGGAGAGCACAUCGAUCCCAGAUGCUAACUGGGAGACCAGUACAAGACUGAUCCAGCCCCCUGAACAUGGAUGUCAAUAAGGACGCCUCUGUACUCCAGGGAGCCUCUGGAAAUGGAUUA
Molecule: long non-coding RNA, 407 nt
Filed under: Cricetulus griseus (Chinese hamster)
Lineage: Eukaryota; Metazoa; Chordata; Mammalia; Rodentia; Cricetidae
Description: lncRNA (ENSCGRG00015036662.1)
Source: RNAcentral